Molecule: long non-coding RNA, 136 nt
Organism: Amblyraja radiata (thorny skate)
Lineage: Eukaryota; Metazoa; Chordata; Chondrichthyes; Rajiformes; Rajidae
Exons: 3
Source: RefSeq, a predicted model, not a curated record
CCCUGAUCCAAAGCAGGACAUUCGGCAUCUUGACCCAACCAGGGUCCCAAGGAGGAUCUCGACCCGAUACGCCAUCUGUCCAUUACGCUGACCCCGCUGAGUUCCUCCAGUGUGCUGUGCAUAGGUCACACAGCAU